Molecule: ribosomal RNA, 245 nt
Filed under: uncultured bacterium
Lineage: Bacteria
Description: partial 16S ribosomal RNA
Rfam family: Bacterial small subunit ribosomal RNA
Source: RNAcentral
AGUAACGCGUGAGGAACCUGCCUCAGAGAGGGGGAUAACACACCGAAAGGUGUGCUAAUACCGCAUAACAUAUGAGAGGGGCAUCCCUUUCAUAUCAAAGAUUUAUUGCUCUGAGAUGGCCUCGCGUCCAAUUAGCUAGUUGGUGAGGUAACGGCCCACCAAGGCGACGAUUGGUAGCCGGACUGAGAGGUUGAACGGCCACAUUGGGACUGAGACACGGCCCAGACUCCUACGGAAGGCAGCAG